UAAGCUGAGAACACUCAUUUAUGUAAGGAAUGUUCUGCUUUGAUCUGACCUUGAGAGCUGGACUUAGCCCAUGUAAAUUCAGAGCAGCCGACUCACACUGACUAUGUUCCUUCCGUCCGUCUGGUUCUUGACCCACAUUACCACCUUGUGAGACAAAUUCCAGUGUUCCUGAUGCGAGCUCUAUGUUUUGAGGACUUGCUUGGGACCUUACCCAGUGACUUCCCCAGAAGGGGCUUUUAUGAAACCUCAGAUCACAGACUCUGGGGGAAGCUGGCUGCCAUGACACAUGGGGCUGCCAUGACAGCCCCACAGAGACACCCCUGUGGCCAGGACUGAGGUCUCCUGACAGCAGACCUGUUGGUGAGCCUGGAAAUCUUGGAGGCCCAGCUGACGGUGUGCAGACAGUCUGAGAGAUCUUGUGCUAGAGCUACGAGGCAAAGCUACUCCUGGACUCCCAACUCACAGAAACUUGCUUGCUGUGGACCAGACACUGGGUUCCAGUUGAACUUAUCCAGUUCCUUCGAGGUUAUCAUCACUCGCUCUGCUCUGGUUUUCAUCGUCGCUAUCAAGGAGUUGGCUGCUCGUCUAACUGUUGAUUCCUUGGAGGUGCCUAGGACUUAAUUAUAACCAAAUGAUCAAACUUCCUCUGAUAAUCUCUUUGAUCUUGCCUUCCAGAAAUCAGACCUAAAAUUAA
Molecule: long non-coding RNA, 694 nt
Organism: Mustela lutreola (European mink)
Lineage: Eukaryota; Metazoa; Chordata; Mammalia; Carnivora; Mustelidae
Exons: 5
Source: RefSeq, a predicted model, not a curated record